RNAcentral lists this unclassified non-coding RNA (301 nucleotides) under Hevea brasiliensis (rubber tree). The record is from RNAcentral. Lineage: Eukaryota; Viridiplantae; Streptophyta; Magnoliopsida; Malpighiales; Euphorbiaceae.
GUCCUGUUCUUCCUUUUAUUUUGUUUUUCUGUAAUUAUCAAGUUUUGAUUGAGAUAAUGUUUUAAGUUGCAAACUGUUACACUGUGACACUGUUACCUAGCAAACACGAAUGAUAAUGUACCAAAAUAAAUGGUGGGAGAGCUUCUUGGUCAAUACGUAGAAGCUUAGAAAAUUUGCUGUUUUGUCAUUUGCCAGUUAUGCAUGGUGCACAAAUACUGAUUUCAUAUUGAUGGUUAAAUUUUUUGCCUCAGUAUAUAAACUAACCUCAGGCCACUUUUAGGGAACUGUAGUUGGAGCAUAA